This 101-nucleotide non-coding RNA is filed under the name Nitrospirota bacterium. RNAcentral's name for it is "Nitrospirae bacterium Fluoride sequence". It matches the Rfam family "Fluoride riboswitch aptamer (crcB RNA motif)". The record is from RNAcentral. Lineage: Bacteria; Pseudomonadati; Nitrospirota.
CUUAAUAACGGCGAUGGGGUUCGCCGUUCAUCCCAUUAGAGAAAAAUUUCUAACGGGAUAAACCGUUCCGAUGCUUCGGGACUGAUGACUCCUACUCUCAA